Astatotilapia calliptera (eastern happy) is the source of this 1125-nucleotide long non-coding RNA. The record is from Ensembl. Lineage: Eukaryota; Metazoa; Chordata; Actinopteri; Cichliformes; Cichlidae.
AGAAAACAUUAAUUGCAAAACAGUAAAUGAUUAUAGUAGGACAGAGUGAGACACGUGUCACAAGGCACACGGCAAGCCUUGUCUCCUCUGGCAUAUUAUUCCAAAGUCGUGAGACCCUAAUGACAAAAGCACAGCCCUCUGUAGAUUGAUUGAUUUAUAUUUUAUUUUAUUUUAUUUUAUUUUAUUUUAUUUUAUCGAUUUUGGAACAGGAACUUAUGGAGCUUUGAAGUGGUCGAAGCAGCAUUUAUUUAUAUGUUUAUUUUUGCCUUUGCACAGAGCCAGACAAGCUGUUUGCAUUUUCUUUAUGCGCAGCACUUGGGACAGAGAAAGAGACACUGUUCCUUCUGAGUCAGUGCUUAUGCAGAGCUACAAACACUAAAUAUUCUCCUCCAAACAGCCAACUUCCUUCCAAAGAAUAAUACUGUGCAAAACUCUUAAGCCACGCCUAAUUUCUUUGGAUUUUUCUUCCAAGGAACCAGAGUAUUUUCAGAGGAAUUUGUUUCUUAAGCCUCGUAACACCGAUCUAUGAAUCAUUCGUUAGCUGAUACUAUGAAGUUAAAAAUAUGAAAGCAGAUAAUUCCUAUAAAGAGCGGAGUUCAAAUCCACCGUCAACGGGAUAAACUGAGCUGAUGAGUGACGUUAAAAUAUUUUCAUGUGGCAUGGAUUCAUGGCUUUGCUUAUUCUUUGUAUGCAGUCACUCCGCGUGGAACAUUUGCUUCCCAUUUGGUCUGAACAUAGCACAUGCGGGUGGGGUACCUAUCUGAUUCUCUUACUCACCCAUUCAUUCAUGAACUCCUACAAUACACCUGCCAAGUUUGAAGCUAAUCAGUGAAUGGUUAUUAAGAAAAAUGCACAAGAACACAUACACAUGCACACCCUCUCAUACAUAUGCAAAGAUUUUUUCACUUUUCAGUGAAAUUUGCUAAAAUUACUAAAUAAGCGUCUCUCUUAAACUGUAACAGUUCCCAUGAUUCUUUGACUAAUUUAGACAUGGAUCACCAAAGUUCUGUUGUAUUGCCUACACGUGCAAGUGAUAUAGUGCUGUCUUGGUAGAUGAGGGCACCGUGAUUUCAGCUUUCUUUUAAUUUUCUGAAGUUUUACUUCUUUUGGCAUAGGAAGCAAGAG